Corvus hawaiiensis (hawaiian crow) is the source of this 734-nucleotide long non-coding RNA. RefSeq lists it as uncharacterized. The transcript has 2 exons. Lineage: Eukaryota; Metazoa; Chordata; Aves; Passeriformes; Corvidae. The record is from RefSeq and is a predicted model, not a curated record.
CGCCGCCAUCGGGGAGCCGCUCCCGCCGCACAGUGACGGCGGGGCCGGGCCGGGGCCGCCGCCAUCGGGGAGCCGCUCCCGCCGCACAGUGACGGCGGGGCCGGGCCGGGGCCGCCGCCAUCGGGGAGCCGCUCCCGCCGCACAGUGACGGCGGGGCCGGGCCGGGGCCGCCGCCAUCGGGGAGCCGCUCCCGCGCCGCCCGCAGCCCGCCGUGGGCUGGCCGGACAGCCCCGGCCCCAGGGAAGGGCCGUGCUAACAGCAGGGGCUUUUCCUGGACUUCUGUGCAGUCUCAGUUGAAGGAGAACCCCCGCUGAACUGUCGCUCGUUCAUCCCGAACACGCUUCGCCACUCUGUGUGUGCUCUGUGCUCACCGGCCCCCGCCGCGCCCUCCGAGCGUUCUGUAGUGUCACCGGGGGUGGGGCAGCAGAACUGGGGUCUCCGGCAAGACACGGAAAGCCAGGAGAAAGCUGUGAGUCCAGGCAAAGUAACUACGGCAAGGGUAAGGCAGUGCCUCAAGAGCUGAGCUGAACCGCGGGACAGGUGGUGGCUGGUGGGUAUCCUGGAGAGUGGCAUCCCACUACUGCUCAUGGCCACAGAUGUUUGCAGGGCUGUUCACAACACAAACACUAAGGUUUGCGAGGCAGACCUAGGGAUUACUUACAUGUGAUCCUGAAGUUUUAAAGGUUUUCUUUCCGGUUUCAUUUUAAAACACUAUUAAAACUCUGAAAGCGGCA